RNAcentral lists this transfer-messenger RNA (360 nucleotides) under Planctomycetaceae bacterium. It matches the Rfam family "transfer-messenger RNA". Rfam says of the family: Bacterial tmRNA, also known as 10Sa RNA or SsrA, is named for its dual tRNA and mRNA-like properties. RNAcentral also lists the same sequence under 1 other name. Lineage: Bacteria; Pseudomonadati; Planctomycetota; Planctomycetia; Planctomycetales; Planctomycetaceae. The record is from RNAcentral.
GGGGGCGAAUUGGUUUCGACCGGGUUAGGGAAGUGUAGGUUGCGUGUCGUGGUUGGUCAGCAGUCCACGUUAAUAGCCGACUAUCAAUUCAAUUGCCGAACCUAAGUUCGCAAUGGCCGCCUAAGAAAAGGCGACCCCGGGUUCAAGCUGUCGUCGGAAUGGCGUGACACCCGGCCGUAAAUCCGAAUCGUUCCCGAUCAUGUCGACCACGUCGGGGAUUAAAAAACGUUGUCGAAUCGUCCGAACGAAACCGCCGUCGAUAAGGGUUCGCAAGGAUUAAAUUCAAAUAAUCGAAUACACACGUAGACGCUUGCAUGGAUCUGCUUCGGGACGCGGGUUCGAUCCCCGCCGCCUCCAUUU